UGAAUACGAGAUGCUACGGCGUCGAAGCAGUGUAUGUCAGACUUCCAAGAAAAGCUCGCAAUGUCAUAAAUAAAGAAUGCCUGUACCAUAACCGACACAGGUGGGUAGGUAGAGUAUACUAAGGGGCGCGAGAUAACUCUCUCUAAGGAACUCGGCAAAAUAACUCCGUAACUUCGGGAGAAGGAGUGCCUUCUUUAAGAAGGUUGCAAUAACAAGAUCCAAGCAACUGUUUAUCAAAAACACAGGUCUCCGCUAAGUCGUAAGACGAUGUAUGGGGGCUGACGCCUGCCCAGUGCCAGAAGGUUAAAGAAGUUGGUUAGCUUUUGCGAAGCUGAUGACUGAAGCCCUGGUGAACGGCGGCCGUAACUAUAACGGUCCUAGGGUAGCGAAAUUCCUUGUCGGGUAAGUUCCGACCCGCACGAAAGGCGUAAUGAUUUGGAUACUGUCUCGGAGAGGGACUCGGUGAAAUAGACUUGUCUGUGAAGAUGCGGACUACCUGCACCAGGACAGAAAGACCCUAUGAAGCUUUACUGUAACUUGAAAUUGAAAUUGGACUUUAUUUGCGCAGUAUAGGUGGAAGGCGUUGAAAGUAAUCUUGCGGGAUUAGUGGAGCCAUCAGUGAGAUACCACUCCUAUAAUGUUAGAUUUCUAACUUUGGAUCAUGAUCUGGUCAAAGAACAGUUUCAGGCGGGCAGUUUGACUGGGGCGGUCGCCUCCCAAAUGGUAACGGAGGCGUACAAAGGUUUCCUCUGAACGGGUAGAAAUCGUAUCUAGAGUGUAAAGGCAUAAGGAAGCUUGACUGUGAAACCUACAAGUCGAGCAGGGACGAAAGUCGGUCUUAGUGAUCUGACGGUGCUGAGUGGAAAGGCCGUCACUCAACGGAUAAAAGUUACUCUAGGAUAACAGGCUGAUCUCCCCCAAGAGUUCACAUCGACGGGGAGGUUUGGCACCUCGAUGUCGGCUCAUCGCAUCCUGGGGCGGUAGUACGUCCCAAGGGUUGGGCUGUUCGCCCAUGAAAGCGGUACGCGAGCUGGGUUCAGAACGUCGUGAGACAGUUCGGUCCAUAUCCGGUGUAGGCGUUAGAAUAUUGAGAGGAGCCUUCUUUAGUACGAGAGGACCGAGAAGGACAUACCUCUGGUGUACCAGUUAUCGUGCCAACGGUAAACGCUGGGUAGCUAUGUAUGGAGAGGAUAACCGCUGAAAGCAUCUAAGUGGGAAGCCCACCUCAAGAUGAGUAUUCUCAUC
Molecule: ribosomal RNA, 1245 nt
Filed under: metagenome
Description: bacterial LSU rRNA
Rfam family: Bacterial large subunit ribosomal RNA
Source: RNAcentral